Molecule: ribosomal RNA, 495 nt
Filed under: uncultured bacterium
Lineage: Bacteria
Description: partial 16S ribosomal RNA
Rfam family: Bacterial small subunit ribosomal RNA
Source: RNAcentral
GACGAACGCUGGCGGCGUGCCUAAUACAUGCAAGUAGAACGCUGAAGGAGGAGCUUGCUUCUCUGGAUGAGUUGCGAACGGGUGAGUAACGCGUAGGUAACCUGCCUGGUAGCGGGGGAUAACUAUUGGAAACGAUAGCUAAUACCGCAUAAUAGUAGAUGUUGCAUGACAUUUGCUUAAAAGGUGCAAUUGCAUCACUACCAGAUGGACCUGCGUUGUAUUAGCUAGUUGGUGGGGUAACGGCUCACCAAGGCGACGAUACAUAGCCGACCUGAGAGGGUGAUCGGCCACACUGGGACUGAGACACGGCCCAGACUCCUACGGGAGGCAGCAGUAGGGAAUCUUCGGCAAUGGACGGAAGUCUGACCGAGCAACGCCGCGUGAGUGAAGAAGGUUUUCGGAUCGUAAAGCUCUGUUGUAAGAGAAGAACGAGUGUGAGAGUGGAAAGUUCACACUGUGACGGUAUCCUACCAGAAAGGGACGGCUAACUACGUG